Molecule: unclassified non-coding RNA, 214 nt
Filed under: soil metagenome
Description: partial contains 5.8S ribosomal RNA, internal transcribed spacer 2, and large subunit ribosomal RNA
Source: RNAcentral
AACGCACGAGACCUGCGGACCUGCGGAGGGAUCAUUACAAGUGACCCCGGUCUAACCACCGGGAUGUUCAUAACCCUUUGUUGUCCGACUCUGUUGCCUCCGGGGCGACCCUGCCUUCGGGCGGGGGCUCCGGGUGGACACUUCAAACUCUUGCGUAACUUUGCAGUCUGAGUAAAUUUAAUUAAUAAAUUAAAACUUUUAACAAUGGAUCUCU